RNAcentral lists this ribosomal RNA (506 nucleotides) under uncultured bacterium. RNAcentral describes it as "partial 16S ribosomal RNA". It matches the Rfam family "Bacterial small subunit ribosomal RNA", at positions 30 to 523 of the family's 1533-position model. The record is from RNAcentral.
AUUGAACGCUGGCGGCAGGCCUAACACAUGCAAGUCGAACGGUAACAGGAAGAAGCUUGCUUCUUUGCUGACGAGUGGCGGACGGGUGAGUAAUGUCUGGGAAACUGCCUGAUGGAGGGGGAUAACUACUGGAAACGGUAGCUAAUACCGCAUAACGUCGCAAGACCAAAGAGGGGGACCUUCGGGCCUCUUGCCAUCGGAUGUGCCCAGAUGGGAUUAGCUAGUUGGUGGGGUAACGGCUCACCAAGGCGACGAUCCCUAGCUGGUCUGAGAGGAUGACCAGCCACACUGGAACUGCGACACGGUCCAGGCUCCUACGGGAGGCAGCAGUGGGGAAUAUUGCACAAUGGGCGCAAGCCUGAUGCAGCCAUGCCGCGUGUAUGAAGAAGGCCUUCGGGUUGUAAAGUACUUUCAGCGGGGAGGAAGGGAGUAAAGUUAAUACCUUUGCUCAUUGACGUUACCCGCAGAAGAAGCACCGGCUAACUCCGUGCCAGCAGCCGCGGUAA